UGGGGAAUAUUGCGCAAUGGGGGGAACCCUGACGCAGCCAUGUCGCGUGAAUGAAGAAGGCCUUAGGGUUGUAAAGUUCUUUCGGUAUUGAGGAAGGUUGAUGUGUUAAUAGCACAUCAAAUUGACGCUAAAUACAGAAGAAGCACCGGCUAACUCCGUGCCAGCAGCCGCGGUAAUACGGAGGGUGCGAGCGUUAAUCGGAAUAACUGGGCGUAAAGGGCACGCAGGCGGUUAUUUAAGUGAGGUGUGAAAGCCCCGGGCUUAACCUGGGAAUUGCAUUUCAGACUGGGUAACUAGAGUACUUUAGGGAGGGGUAGAAUUCCACGUGUAGCGGUGAAAUGCGUAGAGAUGUGGAGGAAUACCGAAGGCGAAGGCAGCCCCUUGGGAAUGUACUGACGCUCAUGUGCGAAAGCGUGGGGAGCAAACAGGAUUAGAUACCCUGGUAGUCCACGCUGUAAACGCUGUCGAUUUGGGGGUUGGGGUUUAACUCUGGCGCCCGUAGCUAACGUGAUAAAUCGACCGCCUGGGGAGUACGGCCGCAAGGUUA
Molecule: ribosomal RNA, 547 nt
Filed under: uncultured bacterium
Lineage: Bacteria
Description: bacterial SSU rRNA
Rfam family: Bacterial small subunit ribosomal RNA
Source: RNAcentral